GACGAACGCUGGCGGCGUGCUUAACACAUGCAAGUCGAACGGAAAGGCCCAGCUUGCUGGGUGCUCGAGUGGCGAACGGGUGAGUAACACGUGGGUGAUCUGCCCCUAACUUCGGGAUAAGCUUGGGAAACUGGGUCUAAUACCGGAUAGGACAAUCGUUUAGUGUCGGUUGUGGAAAGUUUUUUCGGUUAGGGAUGAGCCCGCGGCCUAUCAGCUUGUUGGUGGGGUAAUGGCCUACCAAGGCGUCGACGGGUAGCCGGCCUGAGAGGGUGGACGGCCACAUUGGGACUGAGAUACGGCCCAGACUCCUACGGGAGGCAGCAGUGGGGAAUAUUGCACAAGGGGCGCAAGCCUGAUGCAGCGACGCCGCGUGGGGGAUGACGGCCUUCGGGUGGUAAACCUCUUUCGACAGGGACGAAGCUUUGGUGACGGUACCUGUAUAAGAAGCACCGGCUAACUACGU
RNAcentral lists this ribosomal RNA (463 nucleotides) under uncultured bacterium. RNAcentral describes it as "partial 16S ribosomal RNA". It matches the Rfam family "Bacterial small subunit ribosomal RNA", at positions 28 to 506 of the family's 1533-position model. The record is from RNAcentral.